AACAGGAUUAGAUACCCUGGUAGUCCACGCCGUAAACUAAGGAUGCUAGCUGUAAGAAGUAUCGACCCUUCUUGUAGCGAAGCUAACGCGUUAAGCAUCCCGCCUGUGGAGUACGGUCGCAAGACUAAAACAUAAAGGAAUUGACGGGGACCCGCACAAGCGGUGGAGCGUGUUGUUUAAUUCGAUGGUAAGCGAAGAACCUUACCCAGGCUUGACAUCCUGUGAAGGUCUCCGAAAGGAGACUGUGCCUUCGGGAAUACGGUGACAGGUGAUGCAUGGCCGUCGUCAGCUCGUGUCGUGAGAUGUUUGGUUAAGUCCAUCAACGAGCGCAACCCUUGUAGUUAGUUGUAUUUUUCUAGCUAGACUGCCCUGGUAACAGGGAGGAAGGGGGGGAUGAUGUCAGGUCAGUAUUUCCCUUACGUCUGGGGCUACAAACACGCUACAAUGGCCGGUACAAAGGGCAGCCAAAGCGCAAGCUGGAGCAAAUCCCAUCAAAGCCGGUCCCAGUUCGGAUAGCAGGCUGAAACUCGCCUGCUUGAAGAUGGAAUCGCUAGUAACGGUAGGUCAGCACACUACCGUGAAUACGUUCCCGGGUCUUGUACACACCGCCCGUCAAACCAUGAAAGUCGCCAAUACCUGACGUGUUAGCUUUGCCUAGCCCUAAGGUAGGGGAGAUGAUUGGGGUUAAGUCGUAACAAGGUAACC
Molecule: ribosomal RNA, 705 nt
Filed under: uncultured bacterium
Lineage: Bacteria
Description: bacterial SSU rRNA
Rfam family: Bacterial small subunit ribosomal RNA
Source: RNAcentral